RNAcentral lists this ribosomal RNA (398 nucleotides) under uncultured bacterium. RNAcentral's name for it is "partial 16S ribosomal RNA". It matches the Rfam family "Bacterial small subunit ribosomal RNA", at positions 360 to 776 of the family's 1533-position model. The record is from RNAcentral.
AAUAUUGCACAAUGGAGGAAACUCUGAUGCAGCGACGCCGCGUGAACGAUGAAGGCCUUCGGGUCGUAAAGGUCUGUCCUAGGGGACGAUAAUGACGGUACCCUAGGAGGCAGCCCCGGCUAACUACUUGCCAGCAGCCGCGGUAAUACGUAGGGGGCGAGCGUUGUCCGGAAUUAUUGGGCGUAAAGGGUUCGUAGGCGGUAAUUUAAGUCAGGUGUGAAAGGCGCGGGCUCAACCUGUGUAAGCACUUGAAACUGGAUUACUUGAGUUAAGGAGAGGAAAGUGGAAUUCCUAGUGUAGCGGUGAAAUGCGUAGAUAUUAGGAGGAAUACCAGUGGCGAAGGCGACUUUCUGGACUUAUACUGACGCUGAGGAACGAAAGCGUGGGGAGCAAACAGG